UCAGUCAGCGCAGCGUAAUAACAGAAACUAACCAGGAUUCCCUUAGUAACGGCGAGUGAACUGGGAUACCAAUAUAUUUAUGCGUCUCUGGCGCAUAUUUUUAGCCCGUCGAUACUAUCCUAGCGUAUUACCGGUUUCGGCCGGUAGCCCAAUACGCGGGAAUUGUAGCAUCGUAAUAAAAUAUACACCAUGCCUGCGUCGCAAACGUAUAUACACGUAUACUCACACACACAUACAUCGUACGCGUACACACCCCUUGCAAACACACAGCGCUCCCGCGUUGGAAAGCAAGUCUAUAUCCUCUUUGGAUAUGCCAUAGAGUGUGACAGCCACGUUUGAAACGCCCUACGUACCGUACACACACAUACGUAAAAAUACGCGCUGCUUCGCAUACGCAUACCGUAUAUAACCUGAGUCGAGUUAUUUGGGACUAUAGCUCUAAUAGUUUGGUUGGUGGUAAUGACACAUCAAAGGCUAAAUAUUGGUUAGUCGAUGCAUUUUACGGAGACCGAUAGCAUACAAGUACCGUAAGGGAACGAUGAAAAGCACCCUAUUAAGUUCACGGUGUCGGCCGCGUACAAUUCGUUGCACAACGCCGCGCCCAACAACUACAGUGGGAGUGAAAGAGAGAGU
Molecule: ribosomal RNA, 633 nt
Filed under: Ammonia sp. genotype T6
Lineage: Eukaryota; Foraminifera; Rotaliida; Rotaliidae
Description: partial large subunit ribosomal RNA
Rfam family: Eukaryotic large subunit ribosomal RNA
Source: RNAcentral